This 1240-nucleotide ribosomal RNA is filed under the name Pedobacter sp. RNAcentral's name for it is "bacterial SSU rRNA". It matches the Rfam family "Bacterial small subunit ribosomal RNA", at positions 34 to 1303 of the family's 1533-position model. The record is from RNAcentral. Lineage: Bacteria; Pseudomonadati; Bacteroidota; Sphingobacteriia; Sphingobacteriales; Sphingobacteriaceae.
CGAUAUGCGCAGGUCUAUACAUGCAAGUCGAGGGGGAUUUUGGAGCUUGCUCCUUAUGAGACCGGCGUACGGGUGCGUAACGCGUAUGCAACCUACCUCUGUCAGGGGGAUAGCCCGAAGAAAUUCGGAUUAACACCGCAUAACACCAUCGGGCAGCAUUGCUUGGUGGUCAAAUAUUCAUAGGACAGAGAUGGGCAUGCGUGCCAUUAGCUAGUUGGCGGGGUAACGGCCCACCAAGGCGACGAUGGCUAGGGGAUCUGAGAGGAUGGCCCCCCACACUGGUACUGAGACACGGACCAGACUCCUACGGGAGGCAGCAGUAAGGAAUAUUGGUCAAUGGAGGCAACUCUGAACCAGCCAUGCCGCGUGCAGGAAGACAGCCCUACGGGUCGUAAACUGCUUUUGUACGGGAACAAACCUCUCUUCGUGAAGAGAGCUGAGCGUACCGUAAGAAUAAGGAUCGGCUAACUCCGUGCCAGCAGCCGCGGUAAUACGGAGGAUCCAAGCGUUAUCCGGAUUUAUUGGGUUUAAAGGGAGCGUAGGCGGCCUAUUAAGUCAGGGGUGAAAGACGGUGGCUCAACCAUCGCAGUGCCUUUGAUACUGAUAGGCUUGAAUGUAGUUGAGGUGGGCGGAAUGUGACAAGUAGCGGUGAAAUGCAUAGAUAUGUCACAGAACACCGAUUGCGAAGGCAGCUCACUAAGCUAUGAUUGACGCUGAGGCUCGAAAGCGUGGGGAUCAAACAGGAUUAGAUACCCUGGUAGUCCACGCCCUAAACGAUGAUAACUCGAUGUUGGCGAUAUACAGCCAGCGUCCAAGCGAAAGCGUUAAGUUAUCCACCUGGGAGUACGCCCGCAAGGGUGAAACUCAAAGGAAUUGACGGGGGCCCGCACGAGCGGAGGAGCAUGUGGUUUAAUUCGAUGAUACGCGAGGAACCUUACCCGGGCUUGAAAGUUACUGAAGGGACGUAGAAGAUAGGUCCGUUCCCUCGGACAGGAACUAGUGCUGCAUGCUGUCGUCAGCUCGUGCCGUGAGGUGUUGGGUAAGUCCCGCCAACGAGCGCCAGCCGCUUAUGUUUACGUGCGGGCACAGAAUGGUGCGACUCUGAACCGAACUGCUACCUUACUACAAAGAAGUUGGACGACGUUCAGGUCUCAUGGCGUAGGUCGGGGUUACACCUGCUCAUGAACGUCAUGCAGUACUGGCACGAUCGAUUCGCAAGCGUUCAGGGAUCGAAUCGGGU